Molecule: ribosomal RNA, 615 nt
Filed under: Vibrio alginolyticus
Lineage: Bacteria; Pseudomonadati; Pseudomonadota; Gammaproteobacteria; Vibrionales; Vibrionaceae
Description: bacterial SSU rRNA
Rfam family: Bacterial small subunit ribosomal RNA
Source: RNAcentral
UGCAGUCGAGCGGAACGAGUUAUCUGAACCUUCGGGGGACGAUAACGGCGUCGAGCGGCGGACGGGUGAGUAAUGCCUAGGAAAUUGCCCUGAUGUGGGGGAUAACCAUUGGAAACGAUGGCUAAUACCGCAUGAUGCCUACGGGCCAAAGAGGGGGACCUUCGGGCCUCUCGCGUCAGGAUAUGCCUAGGUGGGAUUAGCUAGUUGGUGAGGUAAGGGCUCACCAAGGCGACGAUCCCUAGCUGGUCUGAGAGGAUGAUCAGCCACACUGGAACUGAGACACGGUCCAGACUCCUACGGGAGGCAGCAGUGGGGAAUAUUGCACAAUGGGCGCAAGCCUGAUGCAGCCAUGCCGCGUGUGUGAAGAAGGCCUUCGGGUUGUAAAGCACUUUCAGUCGUGAGGAAGGGAGUGUAGUUAAUAGCUGCAUUAUUUGACGUUAGCGACAGAAGAAGCACCGGCUAACUCCGUGCCAGCAGCCGCGGUAAUACGGAGGGUGCGAGCGUAAAUCGGAAUUACUGGGCGUAAAGCGCAUGCAGGUGGUUUGUUAAGUCAGAUGUGAAAGCCCGGGGCUCAACCUCGGGAAUUGCAUUUGAAACUGGCAGACUAGAGUACUG